UACGGGGGGAGCAAGCGUUGUUCGGAUUUACUGGGCGUAAAGGGCGCGUAGGCGGUCGUGACAAGUCACUUGUGAAAUCUCCGGGCUUAACUCGGAACGGUCAAGUGAUACUGUCGGACUAGAGUACAGAAGGGGCAACUGGAAUUCUCGGUGUAGCGGUGAAAUGCGUAGAUAUCGAGAGGAACACCUGCGGCGAAGGCGGGUUGCUGGGCUGACACUGACGCUGAUGCGCGAAAGCCAGGGAGCGAACGGG
Molecule: ribosomal RNA, 253 nt
Filed under: uncultured bacterium
Lineage: Bacteria
Description: partial 16S ribosomal RNA
Rfam family: Bacterial small subunit ribosomal RNA
Source: RNAcentral